CGAAGGGGGCUAGCGUUGCUCGGAAUCACUGGGCGUAAAGCGCACGUAGGCGGCUUUCUAAGUCAGGGGUGAAAUCCUGGAGCUCAACUCCAGAACUGCCUUUGAUACUGGAGAGCUCGAGUCCGGGAGAGGUGAGUGGAACUCCGAGUGUAGAGGUGAAAUUCGUAGAUAUUCGGAAGAACACCAGUGGCGAAGGCGGCUCACUGGCCCGGUACUGACGCUGAGGUGCGAAAGCGCGGGGAGCAAACAGGAUUAGAUACCCUGGUAGUCCACGCCGUAAACGAUGGAUGCUAGCCGUUGGCGGGUUUACCCGUCAGUGGCGCAGCUAACGCAUUAAGCAUCCCGCCUGGGGAGUACGGUCGCAGGAUUA
Molecule: ribosomal RNA, 370 nt
Filed under: uncultured organism
Description: bacterial SSU rRNA
Rfam family: Bacterial small subunit ribosomal RNA
Source: RNAcentral